UGUUUGCUUUUCAUAAUGAGUCAUCAAAUAUAGCUGAUGCUCUUUUCAGCGUCAGUGUUUUGUGAGACCAAAAAGUAUCGUCAAGCAACGGAUCCUGUCUUCAGUUGGGUCAGAUUUGUUUCCGGAGAAGAAUGACAAAGACUUCCACAGAGAACUUCUUCCUUGAGCUGACAGAGAUUUUGAGCUACAUAAUCAGAGCUUAAAAUGGAAUUGAAAUAGCUCCUCUGCUCCCUAACAUGGAAUGAAUUAUUCUGGAGGAAGUGAAUGAAAAUGUUGCAUGGAUGGGAUUUGAAGAAGAUGCAUAUCUUCUGCAACUAUUUCUUCUGUUGGACUCAUCAGCUCAUUGACAGCAUGAUGGAGCCAUUAAUGUGGUGCUUCUGACAAUCUUCAUUUCUUCCUGGAACCUCAUAUUUGAGAGAACAUAUUCUGUCUUCAACUACUUCGCUGGACAAGGCAGGAGAGGAAAUCACCCCAGGCAGAAUGUGGCUGGCAUAGCACACGCCACUGCCUUUUCUUAAGGGAAGGCUCAGCGCAGAAAUGCUCCGAAGACUGGGUGCUGUUCUUCUUGCAAGCUUCCACAUGGGGGCACAGACGGUUCACUCUUGCAAACCUCUCCGUCGGGCUGCAGGAGGAAGAAAACCUGAGCCUUAACAAGCACAGAUGUUUCUGGCACCUCUCUAUGUGUGGGAUGUGUUGCACCUCCAGAGCAUGCUGUUCUGCCCAGUGCCUUGGUACCCAGAAGGAACUGCAAGUUACCUGAACAUGUAUGUCCAUCUUCAUUUUAUUUUAUUUUUUUUUUGACUGGUGAGCAAAUGAAUUACAGCAUGUAUCCACUUUAUAGAGACACAGUAGUGCUUGUUAAAUGGGAAGGAAGACCUUGGAUUUCCUCACUUUGCCCACCACAGUGCACAAUAAAAAUUACACCCCUUGAACCUUCAUGAACAUAAGUUUGCUUCCAGAAAUCUGAGUGAAGGAAUCCCUUGGACAUGAUCUGCCUCUGGCUGCACAGCCCCAGGGAGUAGGUCUUGCUCCCAUUGCAGGUUGGAAGACCCCUAAGAGCGACUGAGCUCCCAUCACACUUGUUGGGUAUUCCCCUGGCAUGCACUUAGAAAAUCUAAAGAAGAACUCAAAGAAAAUAAUCCAUAAACUGUGAGCAGUGUGAAGAGGUUUGUCCAGUAAGCCUGGAGCAAGUUUCUAUCAUCAAGAUAACCUGUUCAACCUCCUCUGGUUCCUGAAGUGCCCUUGUGGGAAAGUGCUGCCAAUGUUAGUGUUUUCCUGCUGAGACUGAAAGCGUUGGAAAAAGCAUCUGUGAAAUGAAAUUACAGCUCUCAAUGCCUUCUACUUCAUCUUGAGGAGAUUUCAAGAGAUACCGUGUAGCCACUCUCAGUAAUUUUUAAUCCACUUGCUCCUGUGGAAAUUAAUUAAGAGAUUAUGAAAACAGCGGUGUUUAGGGGUGUCAGCUUAAGUCAUGCUUUCAGCAUGAGUUCAUGCUCAGUCUAACAAAAGCAAUGAGAUCCACUGUACCUUCUGAAAUGAAGAACCCGGUAUUAAAGAGUUGGAAGGUUUUAAUAAGAGAACUGUAAUGAUGUCCUAAGUUUCUAUAUGCACAACUGAAAUGUUUGGAAUUAGCGUUGUGAUAAGAGUUCAGACAACAUUGUUAGGUUUGGAGUCAUCAUGAAAGAGAGGCAAGUUGAAUCACCUCAUGGUUCAUGUUUUAUGGCAGAUAUAAUUCACUUAGGGACCUGGAUUCCAGCUGUUAAGAAAUGUAAAAUAACCAAAGAUAACCUUUUUUUCUAAACUGAAGUAGUCCAAGAGAACAGAGUGCCUCACCCAUGAAGAGUAGGUUCAGGUUAGUUGGACCGAAGAGUCUCAGGGUGUACUGUGGUCCAAUGCCUGACCUAAAGGGCUGGCUGGUUGGUGCUAGAUUUUACACAACUGCUCUUCUUGAAACUGCUAUAUCAACUGAAUAUUUUCUGGUGGCAAUUCCACCAAUGAGAGAAGUCAGGAGAAUAUUGAUUUAAAAUAAAAGCAACAAAGCUGUGAAGAGCCUGGAGCACAAGCCUUCCAGAGAACAGCUGAGGGAACUGGGAUUGUUCAGUCUGGAUAAGAGGAGGAUCAGAGGAUACCUUAUAACUCUCUAUGAUCAUGUGAAAGGAAGUUGUGUUGAUGUGAGUGUUGACCUCUUCUCCCACGUAACAGCAAUAGGAUGAGAGGGAAUAGGUUUAAGUUGCACCAGGGGAGGCUCAGGUGGAUAGUUGGAAAUUUUCUUCUUAGAAAGAGUGGUGAGGUGUUGGAGCAGGCUGCCUAAGGAGGUGGUGAAGUCAUUAUCCCUGGAGGUGCUCAAGAAAUGUGUAGAUGUGACACUGAGAGACAUGGUCUAAGGCAUUUAUAGGCAGGGGUUUAUGUGUUGAUGGUUGGAAUCGACUGUCUUGUGGUCUUUCUAGCAUUAAUGAUUCUGUGAUUUAAACUCUACUACUGUCUGAGUGUCCACAGAAGGAGGGCAGGAAAGCAAGCGAUGUGAAUGGUUAAACUGACUAGGUGAGAAUACUGUUUCAAGAACUAAGAAAUUUCGCCUUCUACACAGCUUUUACUGUUGUCAAUCAGUUUACUUGAUGUGAACGAGUUUACUUGAUGGAAGUAUGGAAAUGAUCAAAUACAGGGUAUUUAUCAUGCAGAUACUGCAACGUUGUACUCAGGCUUUAUAGUGUAUGUUGAAACACAGAUAGUCACUUGACAGGAAAAGAAACAGCAAAUAUUAAAGAGCACCCACCACAACCUUUGAAUUUUUAGUUCAGGAUAAGUGUAAAGACAAAAAUCGAGUCUCUAAGCACAGGUUUAAAUCCAACCUCAAUGGCUAAUGCAGAGGAGAUAAACGUUUUAUAACCUGUGCAAUGCAGCUGUUCACAAAACCUCAUUCACCUACUGGGAGUGCUUUGGGGGAAAUGAUCAGUUACCAAGUAGCAAGGAUUAAAAUGUUCAUUUCAAAGUAGAUAUUUCUGCUCGUGUAAGGAAAAGGUGUUGUUUUUUUUCUUGAGGCUUCUAAGUUCCCUUAAAAACCAACAAAAACUGUUCAUUAAAUCAGUUAAAAUUUGACCUUUAGUUUCAGUGAAAAGGAGAGUUGAAAAACAUUUGGAAAAUGCAGAUUUGUAAAUGUUAAAUUAAGAGCUUGAAGUUCACAUGCAACUAAAUUUAACACACAAAUUAAAAGCAGAAGAGAUAUUGAAAUGUUGCAUUCGACUUACGCGAUAAAAUGAAGGCUAAAGAUUCAGGAAAAAUUCAGUCCUUUUUGAAGGAGAGGAGUAUCCUGAGUAAAUUGCUAAGAAUUCCUUUUUCUUUCAACAACUGAAUUAAAACUCACCAAUGGCCACUAGGAAGCCAAUCAGUCUGACACUGUGGUUCUGUUCAGAGGGGUAAAAAAAGGGGAAACGUUUAAAACUUUGGUGUAGAGAGGUGUCAGGAAAAGGAUUAAAGAGAAAUAGUUAAUGGAUUCACUUCUGAUUUAUUUUGUGGCCAAUAUUAUUGGCAUGUCUCUGUCAGUGCUUUUGACAUGGCACAUAGCCAAUGCAUAGGCAUUGUUCUGUGCCUCAGAAGGGGAUGAAAACUUCUGCACGGUAAAAGAAUAAGGGAAAGAAAAAAGACCAAGAUGGAGCAGAAUGCAAAUACAAAAUGACCUUGUUCUAUAUACGGGAUGGGACUUUGAGCACAUGGCUAUUGCCACGAUGACUGCUUGGUUAUUGCUGCUGCCUAGGUGCAGGCAAACAUCUGGUUUGAAGGGAUGCCAAAGUUUAAUAGUGCUUUGUGUGCUUUUAUGUGCUUUGAAAGUCAGGUUCAUCCAGGAUCGCCAAGGAUCCUCCAGUUUUUGCUGUAAGUAUUUAUAUGUAAUCAAACUGCUUAUUUUGUAUGAAAGGUAAUUUUAGGACACAUAUAGAAGAUACCUACUAAAAAAACAUACUUUGUAAUUAUGUAUCAGGGAAUUAUUGAAAAUAAUUAGUAGAUGUGUAAAAUAUCAAGUUUCUGAUUAUUUUGAAUUUCUAAGUUGAAAAAGAGAAGUAAAACUAUUCCUACUAUACAUAUUUGUAAUGGUCUGUCAUCUUUUAUGCUCACCCCUAUCCUCAUAGAGUGCUGCAUACCAUUUCAGGAAAUUGGGACUGAUGUGUACAAUGGAUCUGUACUGCAAAUGAAUGGAAAUUUUAGUCAUUUCACACAGUGACUGGUUUCACAGCAUGUCUGUAAUAACAGUGCCAGGUAUUUCAUGAAAUACCUUAAUAAUGUAGGCAUUUCACGUAAGGCCCAGAUAGAGCAGUCAAAUGAUGCUGCAAGAAUACCUGUCGUGUCGGUCAUUGUGCUGAGUGACUGAAACUCAAUAACUUCACAGAACAACAGGUUACACAAGACAAGAUGCAUAUUUAUCUUCACGCCUAUGCAAUUUGCAAAGGUGGAUCCACCGAAGUUUAUGCUUGCUUAUGUCUAACCUGCUGAGCCCUGCCCUAGUUUCCUAGUCCCACUGUCAGCCUCAUGAAUUUGGUGAGCAUUCUUGGGGAGAGGAAAGCUGCUCCAGCAGCACCCAGUCCUGACAAGUCACAUGGUGAGGUUCUGCUCAGCCUUGCUGGGAGUGAGGGGAUAUAAGAAAAGCGAAGGGGACCCCAGCACUCAUGCACUAUCAGGAAACUUUUGUUUCUACCUGAAGAACUUUAUAUGUCUGAACCCAUUGGUCUGCCUGAAAAGUGCAGGGCUGAGUGGACCUGCAUGGCUUGGCCACCUAUCCGAACAAAAAGUGACCCAGACCUGCUGGGCUCUUGCACAAAAUAACAUCCAUACUUCUAGUCCAUGUCUGCUUACAGAGUAAAAUACUGUACCUGCUCCUGUGACUAACAUGUAGUGGAAAUAAUAUCUGAGACAGAAGAUGAUACGUGCAAACAACAAAUGUUGCUUUUCUCUGAUGGCUUCAGUGUUUUUCUCCUCUCAGAAUGAAAUAGCCAACAGAAGCCACUUACCACUUUAUUAUUUUCCACCAUCUCUUAAUUAUAUGAAAACGUCAGAGCUUUAUUUAAUUUUUAAUUAGCAUAAUCCAAAUACAAAGUUCAGCCUCAGCAAGGACACAAAAAUAUUGAUUACCUGUCCUUUCCACCACAGAGCCAAAAAUCACUUCUGUGCUGUGCUUAUUAAUAUAUGCUCAUAGCAAUGGCAUUGAAAUCUAUCACAGCGAUCAACCUUUAUUUUCAGUCAGUCAAUGGCCAUUGACCCAUGUAGAUAAAUUACCAUGGUGAAUUUUGCAGCUGCUUGCUCAGACUCUUCUAUCAAUAAUUUACCUACUGAAUGCUUAUUCAGUAAUGCUUUUCUCCUCUUCUUCCUACCAACAAAGCACAAACUAUGCACAGAGAUUCAAACAGAUAUAUUAUCAAGAAGCAGUUUUCAGAUUGUUUUCCUGUUCUCUGCAAAGAUGUGUGAUUCCUUUCUUAUUUUUACCUGCUGGUGUCAGUAGAACACCCAUUUUGCCAACCUGAAAGGGAGACUGACAUAGUAAUAGAGGGCACUUCAGAAAAGGAAUGUGUUGUCCUGUUGGCUACAAAACGUAUUUCUCAGAUUUAGUAGAUAAAAAUAGUCUUCCUAAGUGAUUGUUAGACUGUAACCUACACUACAACAUUUUGGUCUUGAUUUGAAUUCAAAAAUCCCAGUGUUCAAAUGGAUAAUAUUAGAUUUUCUCUGUUGUGCCUGGAGACCUUCUGCAAGUAUGGGGCCUGACUCUGGACUCUAUCAUGGAUUUUGAGAUUUCAGAAGCAAAAUCUUAUUCUGGCUCAUCAUUUAAAUAAUUUUCAACUUGGAAAAUAAUAUAAUUUCUGAGGCUGGCUUUAAGUUUCCCUUUUUGCAAUACAAAAAUUGACAAGAAAGAAAUGCAUGGCAAAAAACAAGUCACCUUAUUUGUGUCAUUCGUGUUUUUGGUUCAAAAAGGACAUGCUUUUAUGCAUCUUCAAAACUGUUUUCUGGACUCAUGUUAGGAAGUAAAGAGAAGUGCUAUCAAGCAGAUUGUUGUACAGAGCAACGCAAAGUUAAGGGAUGUAAUAUCAGUGCAAGUCUUGUGCCACUGAACUGGAAAAUCUUUGAGAUUUAGUUUUAGCCUAUUCACCCUAAAGUUAUUGUUUGAGGCAGAAUGUGAGUUCAACAGAUAAGUAUUGUGCUUGUUGUGUCUGAUGAAAUUACUAUU
Molecule: long non-coding RNA, 6202 nt
Organism: Coturnix japonica (Japanese quail)
Lineage: Eukaryota; Metazoa; Chordata; Aves; Galliformes; Phasianidae
Source: RefSeq, a predicted model, not a curated record